Molecule: unclassified non-coding RNA, 261 nt
Filed under: Hevea brasiliensis (rubber tree)
Lineage: Eukaryota; Viridiplantae; Streptophyta; Magnoliopsida; Malpighiales; Euphorbiaceae
Source: RNAcentral
AAAAAAAAAAAUCUCUAAUCCCCAUUUCCAAUAAAAUUCACAAAAGGCAAGAAAGAGAAUAACUAGAAAUUACAAAAGCUUCUACAUUGUCACCAAGUGCUCAAACUUUCUAUGGACUUUUCCUGAAGUAAAUAAUGGAACUAGAAGUAUCAUGCUUAUUGAACUAUUCCUGACCUUAUUUACAAGGUAGAUGUUACGCACUUGGCUAGCAAAAAUUAAGCCUUAUAUAUACAUAAGAUGCAAGUACGAAUUAGCAUUGAA